CGUACGGUGUGUUCCCAGGCCGCGCCCCCGUCCAGCAGCGCCGCCGCGCCCAGAUGGUCGCCGCCGGCCAGCUGCCCCUGGACCGUCUCCCCGCCGUACUUGCCGGUGCCGAGCCGGUCCAGCUUGCCGUGGGCGAUCAGGAUGAUCCGGUCCGCGGGCUGGUCCUGCUGGGCGAGCACAUCGCCGGGCGCGAACUCGUGCUGGGCGAAGCGGCCGGCCAGCGCCUCGAGCGUCGGGGUGUCCGUGAAGCCACGCAGCGGCGCCAGCUCACGCAACUCCUCGGGAAUCACCCGGACUUCGGCGCCGGUGUUGACGAACUCCACCUGCCCGUCGCCGAGCGUAUGGGUGAGACGGCGGUUGACGCGGUACGUACCGCCGUUGACCUGUGUCCAGGGCAGGACGCGCAGCAGCCAGCGGGAGGAGAUCCCCUGCAUCUGCGGCACGGUCUUGGUCGUGGUCGCCAGCUUGCGCGCGGCCGCGGUGUCCAGGCUGGAACGGUUCUG
Non-coding RNA from Streptomyces chattanoogensis, 503 nucleotides. It matches the Rfam family "Saccharopolyspora sRNA 350". NCBI's taxonomy places the organism in Bacteria, Bacillati, Actinomycetota, Actinomycetes, Kitasatosporales, Streptomycetaceae. The record is from Rfam.